RNAcentral lists this ribosomal RNA (292 nucleotides) under uncultured Alphaproteobacteria bacterium. RNAcentral describes it as "partial 16S ribosomal RNA". The record is from RNAcentral. Lineage: Bacteria; Pseudomonadati; Pseudomonadota; Alphaproteobacteria.
GGACUACCGGGGUAUCUAAUCCUGUUUGCUCCCCACGCUUUCGCGCCUCAGCGUCAGUACCGGUCCAGAUGGCCGCCUUCGCCACCGGUGUUCUUCCCAAUAUCUACGAAUUUCACCUCUACACUGGGAAUUCCGCCAUCCUCUCCCGGACUCUAGCCAGACAGUAUCAAGUGCAAUUCCCGGGUUGAGCCCGGGGCUUUCACACCUGACUUGUCAAGCCGCCUACGCGCCCUUUACGCCCAGUGAUUCCGAACAACGCUAGCCCCCUUCGUAUUACCGCGGCUGCUGGCAC